Molecule: ribosomal RNA, 886 nt
Filed under: uncultured bacterium
Lineage: Bacteria
Description: bacterial SSU rRNA
Rfam family: Bacterial small subunit ribosomal RNA
Source: RNAcentral
AGAGUUUGAUCAUGGCUCAGGACGAACGCUGGCGGCGUGCCUAAUACAUGCAAGUCGAGCGAGCUUGCCUAGAUGAUUUUAGUGCUUGCACUAAAUGAAACUAGAUACAAGCGAGCGGCGGACGGGUGAGUAACACGUGGGUAACCUACCCAAGAGACUGGGAUAACACCUGGAAACAGAUGCUAAUACCGGAUAACAACACUAGACGCAUGUCUAGAGUUUGAAAGAUGGUUCUGCUAUCACUCUUGGAUGGACCUGCGGUGCAUUAGCUAGUUGGUAAGGUAACGGCUUACCAAGGCAAUGACGCAUAGCCGAGUUGAGAGACUGAUCGGCCACAUUGGGACUGAGACACGGCCCAAACUCCUACGGGAGGCAGCAGUAGGGAAUCUUCCACAGUGGACGAAAGUCUGAUGGAGCAACGCCGCGUGAGUGAAGAAGGGUUUCGGCUCGUAAAGCUCUGUUGGUAGUGAAGAAAGAUAGAGGUAGUAACUGGCCUUUAUUUGACGGUAAUUACUUAGAAAGUCACGGCUAACUACGUGCCAGCAGCCGCGGUAAUACGUAGGUGGCAAGCGUUGUCCGGAUUUAUUGGGCGUAAAGCGAGUGCAGGCGGUUCAAUAAGUCUGAUGUGAAAGCCUUCGGCUCAACCGGAGAAUUGCAUCAGAAACUGUUGAACUUGAGUGCAGAAGAGGAGAGUGGAACUCCAUGUGUAGCGGUGGAAUGCGUAGAUAUAUGGAAGAACACCAGUGGCGAAGGCGGCUCUCUGGUCUGCAACUGACGCUGAGGCUCGAAAGCAUGGGUAGCGAACAGGAUUAGAUACCCUGGUAGUCCAUGCCGUAAACGAUGAGUGCUAAGUGUUGGGAGGUUUCCGCCUCUCAGUGCUGCAGCU